This 271-nucleotide long non-coding RNA is filed under the name Capsella rubella. Its description in RNAcentral is "long non-coding RNA (CRUB_LNC000855)". Lineage: Eukaryota; Viridiplantae; Streptophyta; Magnoliopsida; Brassicales; Brassicaceae. The record is from RNAcentral.
AAAGCUCAAUUAAGAUAUCAUUGUAUGAGCUUGAUUAUAUAUUUGUUUUAAAAUUUUGUUUUCAAUUCUAUUUUUUCUUUGUUUUAUGUACUUUUUCAUUUCUUCAUUGUUUUCUUAUACUAUUAAAUAUAGAAUACAUAUGUAUAAUAUUUUCUUAUGUCUAUAAGAAAAUUACUUUAUCGAUGAGAUUCAAAAAUAUUGAUUUCCGACCAUCACACAUAAUAAAAUCAAGUAAAAAAAACAAUCUUCAUUCUUUUAUUUUAGAUGUUUG